This 242-nucleotide long non-coding RNA is filed under the name Mustela putorius furo (domestic ferret). Its description in RNAcentral is "lncRNA (ENSMPUG00000024182.1)". Lineage: Eukaryota; Metazoa; Chordata; Mammalia; Carnivora; Mustelidae. The record is from RNAcentral.
AUGUACAGGCAGGAACUCUUGUCUCUCCUGGGAUAUUUCUUCUCUGGGUGUGGAAUUAUAGAAAAUAUAAACCCAUUUGAAGUGGUAGGGAAAAGAUGGCCUUCCUUUCCAUUGGUUUUUUUUUGGUGAGUGAGGUAUUAUACAAAUAUCUGGGUCCCUAUUUUAAAAUUGGGAGACUGAGACUUCUGUUUCUCAUGAAAAACCCUCUGAUCGGGCACUAGUAGGACCACUUCCUGAAAGGC